Non-coding RNA from Jatropha curcas, 124 nucleotides. The record is from Rfam. NCBI's taxonomy places the organism in Eukaryota, Viridiplantae, Streptophyta, Magnoliopsida, Malpighiales, Euphorbiaceae.
ACGAGAAAAGCCUAUCAGAUUAGCCAAGGAGACUGCCUGGGAAUAAAAAUAAGAAUUUCCACUCAUUCUUGAAGAAUUAAGUUGCAGGCAGGUCAUCCUUGGCUACCAAACCAAACUCUUAUCU